Molecule: ribosomal RNA, 1088 nt
Filed under: Staphylococcus pasteuri
Lineage: Bacteria; Bacillati; Bacillota; Bacilli; Caryophanales; Staphylococcaceae
Description: bacterial SSU rRNA
Rfam family: Bacterial small subunit ribosomal RNA
Source: RNAcentral
CUGGGGGGGGGUGCUAUACAUGCAAGUCGAGCGAACAGAUAAGGAGCUUGCUCCUUUGACGUUAGCGGCGGACGGGUGAGUAACACGUGGAUAACCUACCUAUAAGACUGGGAUAACUUCGGGAAACCGGAGCUAAUACCGGAUAACAUAUUGAACCGCAUGGUUCAAUAGUGAAAGGCGGCUUUGCUGUCACUUAUAGAUGGAUCCGCGCCGUAUUAGCUAGUUGGUAAGGUAACGGCUUACCAAGGCAACGAUACGUAGCCGACCUGAGAGGGUGAUCGGCCACACUGGAACUGAGACACGGUCCAGACUCCUACGGGAGGCAGCAGUAGGGAAUCUUCCGCAAUGGGCGAAAGCCUGACGGAGCAACGCCGCGUGAGUGAUGAAGGUCUUCGGAUCGUAAAACUCUGUUAUCAGGGAAGAACAAAUGUGUAAGUAACUGUGCACAUCUUGACGGUACCUGAUCAGAAAGCCACGGCUAACUACGUGCCAGCAGCCGCGGUAAUACGUAGGUGGCAAGCGUUAUCCGGAAUUAUUGGGCGUAAAGCGCGCGUAGGCGGUUUUUUAAGUCUGAUGUGAAAGCCCACGGCUCAACCGUGGAGGGUCAUUGGAAACUGGAAAACUUGAGUGCAGAAGAGGAAAGUGGAAUUCCAUGUGUAGCGGUGAAAUGCGCAGAGAUAUGGAGGAACACCAGUGGCGAAGGCGACUUUCUGGUCUGUAACUGACGCUGAUGUGCGAAAGCGUGGGGAUCAAACAGGAUUAGAUACCCUGGUAGUCCACGCCGUAAACGAUGAGUGCUAAGUGUUAGGGGGUUUCCGCCCCUUAGUGCUGCAGCUAACGCAUUAAGCACUCCGCCUGGGGAGUACGACCGCAAGGUUGAAACUCAAAGGAAUUGACGGGGACCCGCACAAGCGGUGGAGCAUGUGGUUUAAUUCGAAGCAACGCGAAGAACCUUACCAAAUCUUGACAUCCUUUGACCGCUCUGAGAUAGAGUCUUCCCCUUCGGGGGACAAAGUGACAGUGGUGCAUGGCUUGUCGUAUGCUCUUGUCGUGAGAUUGUUGGGAUUAUGUCUCCACACGACCCCCAC